UCUGGAAUCUCUGUGGUUAUUGGGU
RNAcentral lists this non-coding RNA (25 nucleotides) under Mus musculus (house mouse). The record is from RNAcentral. Lineage: Eukaryota; Metazoa; Chordata; Mammalia; Rodentia; Muridae.